UAUUGUCAUCUCUGUUCUCUGUGUUCUCGAGCGUUAGUUUAAUCUGCGUAGAAGUCAGGUUGGGGAGUUUUCAGUGCUUGACCUGCAGCCAACAGUUACGCUCUGAGCCGAAAAGACUACAGGAAACCUUCGAGACCUUAUUCAGUAGUCGGACGACAGUCGGAUCAUCAGAGCUCGUCGGAAGAAGUGACGGUUGACGGUGGCUGGCGGACGCUCGUCUGCGAGAUGUGCGACUACGUGGCCACGAGGAGGGGCAGCAUGCGACGCCACCAGAAGACACACCGGCAAGCGCCCUCUCUGCGGCCACCUGUGCCUCCUGGCGUUCGGGGAGAAGACGUCCCUGACGAGCCACCUCCGAACGCAUCCGGGAGAGCAGCCAUUCCAGUGCGGCCCUGCCGGAAAGCGUUUCUGGAGCGCAGUCACCUGAUCGACCACCAGACGACGCACACGGGAGAGAAGCCGCUUCGAUGCACCCCCGGCUCCCGGUAGUUUACCAAGAAGGACUCGCUCAUGAGGAACGUGCAGACCCACGCAAGCAAGUCGGAUUCCUAGCGUCCAAGUUGCGGAUAGUUAUUGUAGCAGUGGCUGCCGGAACUCUGUUCUCUCUUCGAGAACUUGUUUCCGUGGAUGCGUGCCAGAUAAAAGGAUCCAUGGCGUCGAAGCGAGCCAGCUUUGGAGCUGCGCUGCUCGUCAUGGAACAGGCUCAUGCAAGAUACUGUAAACGACUUAAUUUUCGCGGGCUCAAAUUUUUGCGAAUCGGGCCAAAGCUGAAAAUUUGAAAUUAUUCGCGGUUUCUAAUUUUUGCGGAUCGAGUGUAGCUUCCAUAGCGUUCACAUAUUGCCCGAAUCGUUCGCGGGAUGUAUUUUUUUGCGAGUUGUAGGCGAUUCGCGAAAUUCGCGAAAGUUAGGUCCUCGCGAAAUUUUAGUCGUUUACAGUAAUCGUUUAGGAAUUUGAAUAGGUUUUUAGCGGACGCGAUUGUAUCUAUGUGGCUGGCCAGUGUUUUUGUUUUUCUAAUGUGUUUGUCAUAAUUGUUUUGUUGUGCUUGAAUAGAUGAAAAAAGUUUUUGAACUUGCAUUUGCAACUUUCUAGGUGAAAUUAGUUUGUUAGAGUUUUGGUCUCAGUACAUUUUGCGUGUAUACUCUAUAUUAAGGAGUUUUCAAAGACCGCGUUUCCCACUCCGCUAAGCCGUUCGCAAGGAAGAAGCGGCUACUGCGCCUGCGCGCCGAUGGCCUUGGCUGUAGAGUUCCGGAUAUCGUAGCAAGUUGCGGAGAGCGUUCCGGGACGGGGAAAACGAUCUACGAAAACUCCCUAUUGUUAUGUUUCACGAAUGCUUCCUAGAAGAAAUGGCCUUUUGUCCUGUGUGGUGUGAUGUUGCAAUUGGUACAAUGUGUAAAGAGCUAUCAACCGAAACACGACUCCGACUUUUAGCGGUACUGAUUUUUCGCCCCAUUGCUGUACGUGCAGAGCUACAUCGGAUCAGCUUUGCUGCUAAUCCACUUUGCAUGCGCUCUGUGGAGCGCACGAGCGUGUCCGCUAAAUGUUGGAGACAGUUGUCUCCUGUGUGGACAGCCCCUCACAGGAUUGAACUGCACUGAAUUUUGGUGCUUUAUGCUGCUUCAUUGCCUUUUACCUAUACUUCUUGACGUAGAGUCACCCAGCAUUGAAGCCUCUGUUCCUGGGUGACAUUCGGGAGUUUUAGAAUAACAUACGCAAUUUUAACGCUUGCGUUAGCGCACGCUUAGCAUAAUAGUUUGAAGGGCGAUUCACACACUUGCGUCGAGUUGGAAUAAGUGCGACGUACGGGUUGCUAUGGCAACAGGUGCAUCGGCUCCAACACAAUUGUUGGAGCCGAAGCAGCCGUUGCCAUAGCAACCAGUCUGUUGCACUCGCAUUCUGUCGUACUCUCGCCAAGUAUGUGAACCAACCUUUAGAAUGGCGUUUCUGUGCCGCGACGCAAAACCCCAAGCACGUUGCGCUUGCAACGCCUCUGAGAUACAGUAGCAGUUUUCAUUUAAAUGCUGUAACUUGAGAAAAAGUAGUGUUGUGGUCCAGAGUAACAUUUUAGGUUUGUUUAAAUAUGAGAAUGCGAAGCGCGAGCGGUCGAUCGGUCGUGUCCGUUUGCGUCGCCUCGACUGGAGAGGCCUCGUGUACUGAUCUUCGCUGCCCUCGCCGAGAAAUGUUUGCGCGUCGCGAGUAGCAAGUUACCGAAGAUCGUUGCCCACUUUGCUGGGUCUUCCGAGCUGUUUAUGAAGCGCACCUCCCGUAGGAGUGCAAUGUCUUCCUGCAUGGAAGAUCGCAGUCGCGAGGAUGCCGCCGACGAUGCGCUCACGACGACCGCCCAAGCGGCGGCAGCCGCCGCAGCCGCGGUCUUGGGAACCGCUAUUUCCUAAGAGGAGCGCAAAGACUCUGCGUACGUACGCAAUUUCCGAAAAAUAGCUCGCGCAAAAUGUGGUUAGCAUUCGGCGCUUGCGCAGUCGCGACGACGCUAUUUGCGGACGAAACUACCUUUUGAAGCUUACUUAUGAAGCCAAUGGCUUCGAAACUCGAUUAGUUGGUGGUUGAACGACACGCUUACUAAUUAGGCAUUUUACCUUCUCUUUCGGAUUAUUUCAAGGGAAAAUGCUAUGUGCGUUUCCGUCCACAGCCAAACAAAGACAAGGCGUUUCGACGGCAGCUAGCCCAUCGCACAUCGCCGAUCAUCAUGACAGCCCGCGGCAAGAAGCAAGCGGGACGAAGUUCUAUUGUGGCUUUUGUUCGGAAGCCUUCACCGACCAGACCCGCUUUAUGGAGCACCUUCGCGGCCACAGGACCCUGCAGCAGAGGCCCUUCGAGUGUCAGGUGUGCCACACCGCGUUUGCGCAUCGGGUUAGCCUCACGAACCAUCUGCGCACUCACCGUGCAGAAAGACCUUUCCAAUGUCCAAUGUGCCUGGACACCUUCAAGCAGAGAGGCAACCUCACCAUGCAUCUGAGGUCACACGCGGACCCGAGCGCGGGUGCUGACGGCACCUGAGAACGUACGACUUCUUGGACUUACCAGAGGAGCAGCUGGAUUGAACACGGGGGACAGAAAGCCCCUUGUUGUCUGACGGGAGCGCCGGCCGUGUUGCCGAGAUUUCGGUUGCAUGCGAGAUGGACGUGCAGGGGUUCGGAAUGAAUGCUCACUCGCGAAGGGCAGCCUCUGGGCUGCGGCUGCCUUUUGUUAGUUUGGAGCUGAAGAUCAUCGGAUGGUUCAACUUCGAUUAAUUUCUGGUCAUUUUUUCUUUAUUUCGGCCUAAAAAUAUGUUUACAAAUAAGGUCCUUGCCCAAUGCCACUAUGAGAAUAAAAUUUAAAC
Molecule: long non-coding RNA, 3334 nt
Organism: Ixodes scapularis (black-legged tick)
Lineage: Eukaryota; Metazoa; Arthropoda; Arachnida; Ixodida; Ixodidae
Exons: 2
Source: RefSeq, a predicted model, not a curated record